GCUUACGGCCACACUGCCUAGUUCACGCCCGAUCUCGUUUGAUCUCGGAAGCUAAGAUAGGGUGGGCUGGUUAAUACUUGGAUGGGAGACCCCUGGGAAUACCAGGUGCUGUAAGCU
Molecule: ribosomal RNA, 117 nt
Filed under: Scophthalmus maximus (turbot)
Lineage: Eukaryota; Metazoa; Chordata; Actinopteri; Pleuronectiformes; Scophthalmidae
Source: RNAcentral